Molecule: ribosomal RNA, 1737 nt
Filed under: Chrysobothris inaequalis
Lineage: Eukaryota; Metazoa; Arthropoda; Insecta; Coleoptera; Buprestidae
Description: SSU rRNA
Rfam family: Eukaryotic small subunit ribosomal RNA
Source: RNAcentral
UUAAAUCAGUUAUGGUUCCUUAGAUCGUACCCACAUUUACUUGGAUAACUGUGGUAAUUCUAGAGCUAAUACAUGCAACAGAGCUCCGACCGGAGACGGAAGGAGCGCUUUUAUUAGAUCAAAACCAAUCGGCGUCGGGUGGUUCCGCCGCUCGUCGUCGUAUCCACUGGUGAAUCUGAAUAACUCUCUGCUGAUCGCAUGGUCUCGCACCGGCGACGCAUCUUUCAAAUGUCUGCCUUAUCAACUGUCGAUGGUAGGUUCUGCGCCUACCAUGGUUGUAACGGGUAACGGGGAAUCAGGGUUCGAUUCCGGAGAGGGAGCCUGAGAAACGGCUACCACAUCCAAGGAAGGCAGCAGGCGCGCAAAUUACCCACUCCCGGCACGGGGAGGUAGUGACGAAAAAUAACGAUACGGGACUCAUCCGAGGCCCCGUAAUCGGAAUGAGUACAAUCUAAACCCUUUAACGAGGAUCAAUUGGAGGGCAAGUCUGGUGCCAGCAGCCGCGGUAAUUCCAGCUCCAAUAGCGUAUAUUAAAGUUGUUGCGGUUAAAAAGCUCGUAGUCGAAUCUGUGUCCCGCGCCGCCGGUUCAUCGCACGCGGUGUUUAACUGGCGUGUCCCGCGGGACGUCCUGCCGGUGGGCUUUGCCGCCCGCAAGGGUGGCGGCCCAACUCAAUCCCACCGCGGUGCUCUUCACUGAGUGUCGAGGUGGGCCGGCACGUUUACUUUGAACAAAUUAGAGUGCUUAAAGCAGGCUAAAACUUCGCCUGAAUACCGUGUGCAUGGAAUAAUGGAAUAGGACCUCGGUUCUAUUUUGUUGGUUUUCGGAACCCCGAGGUAAUGAUUAAUAGGAACGGAUGGGGGCAUUCGUAUUGCGACGUUAGAGGUGAAAUUCUUGGAUCGUCGCAAGACGAACAGAAGCGAAAGCAUUUGCCAAAAACGUUUUCAUUGAUCAAGAACGAAAGUUAGAGGUUCGAAGGCGAUCAGAUACCGCCCUAGUUCUAACCAUAAACGAUGCCAGCUAGCGAUCCGCCGACGUUCCUUCGAUGACUCGGCGGGCAGCUUCCGGGAAACCAAAGCUUUUGGGUUCCGGGGGAAGUAUGGUUGCAAAGCUGAAACUUAAAGGAAUUGACGGAAGGGCACCACCAGGAGUGGAGCCUGCGGCUUAAUUUGACUCAACACGGGAAACCUCACCAGGCCCGGACACCGGAAGGAUUGACAGAUUGAGAGCUCUUUCUUGAUUCGGUGGGUGGUGGUGCAUGGCCGUUCUUAGUUGGUGGAGCGAUUUGUCUGGUUAAUUCCGAUAACGAACGAGACUCUAGCCUGCUAAAUAGGCGUAUUUCCGACAUCUCAAAGGCCCGCCGGUCCGGCGUUCGCGUCGCGUCCGUGCGCGGUUUUUACUGUCGGCGUACACACAAUUCUUCUUAGAGGGACAGGCGGCUUCUAGCCGCACGAGAUUGAGCAAUAACAGGUCUGUGAUGCCCUUAGAUGUUCUGGGCCGCACGCGCGCUACACUGAAGGAAUCAGCGUGUCCUCCCUGGCCGAGAGGCCCGGGUAACCCGCUGAACCUCCUUCGUGCUAGGGAUUGGGGCUUGCAAUUGUUCCCCAUGAACGAGGAAUUCCCAGUAAGCGCGAGUCAUAAGCUCGCGUUGAUUACGUCCCUGCCCUUUGUACACACCGCCCGUCGCUACUACCGAUUGAAUGAUUUAGUGAGGUCUUCGGACCGGUACGCGGCGGCGU